ACGGUCGCAAGACUAAAACUCAAAGAAAUUGACGGGGACCCGCACAAGCGGUGGAGUAUGUGGCUUAAUUCGAUGCAACGCGAAGAACCUUACCAAGGCUUGACAUGCAUCUCUAAACACGUGAAAGCGUGUGACCCUUCGGGGAAUUUGCACAGGUGCUGCAUGGCCGUCGUCAGCUCGUGUCGUGAGAUGUUGGGUUAAGUCCCGCAACGAGCGCAACCCUUGUGAUUAGUUGCCAGCACGUUAAGGUGGGAACUCUAGUCAGACUGCCCAGAUCAACUGGGAGGAAGGUGGGGACGACGUCAGGUCAGUAUGGCCCUUACGCCUUGGGCUGCACACGUACUACAAUGCCCAGCACAAUGAGAACCGAUACCGCGAGGUGGAGGAAAUCUGUAAAACUGGGCUCAGUUCGGAUUGGAGGCUGCAACUCGCCUCCAUGAAGUUGGAAUCGCUAGUAAUGGGGCAUCAUCUACGGCCCCGUGAAUACGUUCCCGGGUCUUGUACACACCGCCCGUCACAUCAUGGAAGCCGGUCGCACCCGAAGUGCUCGUACCAACCGCAAGGGGGUAGAGUCCUAAGGUGUAGCUGGUAACUGGGAUG
RNAcentral lists this ribosomal RNA (600 nucleotides) under uncultured bacterium. RNAcentral describes it as "bacterial SSU rRNA". It matches the Rfam family "Bacterial small subunit ribosomal RNA", at positions 882 to 1482 of the family's 1533-position model. The record is from RNAcentral.